CACAAAUCUGUGAAAUAUUCACAGAUAAAAAGCUAUAAAAUAUUCCAAAUGUGCUCCCUGUAUUCCUCUAACAAUAUAGGUGUGUAAAUAUAUGUGUUUGUAUGCAUAUUCAAACAUUAACAUUUGCUCAUCGUUCAUUUUAUUACCUAUCAACAUGACACUUUUGUGGUUUUACUAUUGUAGUUUCUCUCAUCAGUUACCCAAACAUCCCUUGGAAGGUUAAUAAUUCUGUGUAUGUUUUGAUGUGGGAGUCAGCAUUGUUUAUAGUUGAUCUAAGCAUCUGAACUCUGCUAAUGUUAUCAUUUUCACUACACUGUGUCUGCUGUUACAUAGGGAGUAUCAACUUUACACUACAUAUUAUUUACUGAAAUUUGUCCCAUAGCAAUAUCUUUCCUAAUCUUUCUGUCUGAAAAUAAUUCCUCAACUCCCUGCAAAAUUAUUCUGCAUGUUUAUUCUGGAGGUGCAGCUCACUAUGCUCUGUUGGAGAGGCUAAGGGUCUGCAAAUGAAGAAAAAACUUCUGGUGUCAAGUCUUAAGUUUUUAUGGUUUUUUUUGUAUGUGUGCAGGAUUUCUUAUUUGUUUGUUUUCUCCUUGCACUUCCCAUCACAGAUAAGGUAUCUCAAAAGGAGUUAGAAAGUGUUAUAUUAAUCCUCUACCACUUGGAAUUCAUUAAGAUGUACAAAGAUAUAACCCAUCAAUAUUAUUCUGCGCUACAAAGCUUUUAGAUUUGGGACUGACAACACAAAAUAUUUCUGAAGAGCUGCCAAAGAAACUCUUAACAGCUCAGGCUGAAAUCUGAGAUCUGGUUAAAAAGAAAAGAAAAGAAAAAAGAAACAAGAAAAAGAAACACAAAAAUUUGUAAGUUGCCUUCCAUUUCAAAGCUUGCUAGUUUAGUUUUCCAGUUCUCUUAUUGCAAAGUCAGAGGAGCUGUUGUGAUUAGAACUAAUGGUUUAAUCUAUCAGCACAAUCCCUUUAGUAUUCAGUGUAAACAAAACUAAUUUUAGAGCAGAAAUAACUGCAAAAAUACAAAUGUUCAAAUAAAUUUAAACAAAUAAAAAACUAUAAUGUCUAG
Molecule: long non-coding RNA, 1071 nt
Filed under: Phasianus colchicus (ring-necked pheasant)
Lineage: Eukaryota; Metazoa; Chordata; Aves; Galliformes; Phasianidae
Description: lncRNA (ENSPCLG00000008831.1)
Source: RNAcentral